This 96-nucleotide ribosomal RNA is filed under the name Diporeia hoyi. Its description in RNAcentral is "partial 28S ribosomal RNA". It matches the Rfam family "Eukaryotic large subunit ribosomal RNA", at positions 1 to 98 of the family's 3401-position model. Lineage: Eukaryota; Metazoa; Arthropoda; Malacostraca; Amphipoda; Haustoriidae. The record is from RNAcentral.
ACCUCGGCUCAGAAGAGAUUACCCGCUGAACUUAAGCAUAUCAGUAAGAGGAGGAAAAGAAACCAAUAGGGAUUCCCUUAGUAGGGGCGACCGAAA